Molecule: ribosomal RNA, 448 nt
Filed under: Pseudomonas sp. '5.5 MW-15'
Lineage: Bacteria; Pseudomonadati; Pseudomonadota; Gammaproteobacteria; Pseudomonadales; Pseudomonadaceae
Description: bacterial SSU rRNA
Rfam family: Bacterial small subunit ribosomal RNA
Source: RNAcentral
UGCAAGUCGAGCGGAUGAGAASAGCUUGMUCUUCGAUUCAGCGGCGGACGGGUGAGUAAUGCCUAGGAAUCUGCCUGGUAGUGGGGGACAACGUUUCGAAAGGAACGCUAAUACCGCAUACGUCCUACGGGAGAAAGCAGGGGACCUUCGGGCCUUGCGCUAUCAGAUGAGCCUAGGUCGGAUUAGCUAGUUGGUGAGGUAAUGGCUCACCAAGGCGACGAUCCGUAACUGGUCUGAGAGGAUGAUCAGUCACACUGGAACUGAGACACGGUCCAGACUCCUACGGGAGGCAGCAGUGGGGAAUAUUGGACAAUGGGCGAAAGCCUGAUCCAGCCAUGCCGCGUGUGUGAAGAAGGUCUUCGGAUUGUAAAGCACUUUAAGUUGGGAGGAAGGGCAGUAAGCGAAUACCUUGCUGUUUUGACGUUACCGACAGAAUAAGCACCGGCUU